CCAGUUGGCCGGGCAGCCGCUCUCCGCUAGGACCGAAAGGUUGCGGGGGGAGGAAAGUCCGGGCUCCACGGAAACACGGUGCCGGAUAACGUCCGGCGGGGGCGACCCCAGGGAAAGUGCCACAGAAAGGAAACCGCCCCGCCUGCUUUUUCGUCCAAGUUGUGAGGCCGCUUUGAAACUGUAUACAGUUUACGUGGGGUGAUCGCAGGACGGCAAAGCUGGCGGGGUAAGGGUGAAAGGGUGGGGUAAGAGCCCACCGCGCGCCUGGCAACAGGGGCGGCACGGCAAACCCCACCGGGAGCAAAACCGAAUAGGGAUGACGCGGAGCGCGCAAGCGUUCCAGCCGGUUUCCAGGCCGGUCAUCCGGGUGGGUUGCAAGAGGCCGGGCGCAAGUCCGGUCCCAGAUGAAUGGCUGCCACGUUCCGGUCUUCGGACCGGAGCCUUACAGAACCCGGCUUACAGGCCAACUGGCACU
This 475-nucleotide RNase P RNA is filed under the name Pararhizobium sp. RNAcentral's name for it is "RNase P RNA component class A". It matches the Rfam family "Bacterial RNase P class A". From Rfam's summary of the family: Ribonuclease P (RNase P) is a ubiquitous endoribonuclease, found in archaea, bacteria and eukarya as well as chloroplasts and mitochondria. Its best characterised activity is the generation of mature 5'-ends of tRNAs by cleaving the 5'-leader elements of precursor-tRNAs. The record is from RNAcentral. Lineage: Bacteria; Pseudomonadati; Pseudomonadota; Alphaproteobacteria; Hyphomicrobiales; Rhizobiaceae.